Molecule: ribosomal RNA, 868 nt
Filed under: Psychrobacter faecalis
Lineage: Bacteria; Pseudomonadati; Pseudomonadota; Gammaproteobacteria; Moraxellales; Moraxellaceae
Description: bacterial SSU rRNA
Rfam family: Bacterial small subunit ribosomal RNA
Source: RNAcentral
GGAAUCUACCUAGUAGUGGGGGAUAGCUCGGGGAAACUCGAAUUAAUACCGCAUACGACCUACGGGAGAAAGGGGGCAACUUGUUGCUCUCGCUAUUAGAUGAGCCUAAGUCGGAUUAGCUAGAUGGUGGGGUAAAGGCCUACCAUGGCGACGAUCUGUAGCUGGUCUGAGAGGAUGAUCAGCCACACCGGGACUGAGACACGGCCCGGACUCCUACGGGAGGCAGCAGUGGGGAAUAUUGGACAAUGGGGGCAACCCUGAUCCAGCCAUGCCGCGUGUGUGAAGAAGGCCUUUUGGUUGUAAAGCACUUUAAGCAGUGAAGAAGACUCCAUGGUUAAUACCCAUGGACGAUGACAUUAGCUGCAGAAUAAGCACCGGCUAACUCUGUGCCAGCAGCCGCGGUAAUACAGAGGGUGCAAGCGUUAAUCGGAAUUACUGGGCGUAAAGCGAGCGUAGGUGGCUUGAUAAGUCAGAUGUGAAAGCCCCGGGCUUAACCUGGGAACGGCAUCUGAUACUGUUAGGCUAGAGUAGGUGAGAGGAAGGUAGAAUUCCAGGUGUAGCGGUGAAAUGCGUAGAGAUCUGGAGGAAUACCGAUGGCGAAGGCAGCCUUCUGGCAUCAUACUGACACUGAGGUUCGAAAGCGUGGGUAGCAAACAGGAUUAGAUACCCUGGUAGUCCACGCCGUAAACGAUGUCUACUAGUCGUUGGGUCCCUUGAGGACUUAGUGACGCAGCUAACGCAAUAAGUAGACCGCCUGGGGAGUACGGCCGCAAGGUUAAAACUCAAAUGAAUUGACGGGGGCCCGCACAAGCGGUGGAGCAUGUGGUUUAAUUCGAUGCAACGCGAAGAACCUUACCUGGUCUUGACA